RNAcentral lists this unclassified non-coding RNA (1423 nucleotides) under Hevea brasiliensis (rubber tree). The record is from RNAcentral. Lineage: Eukaryota; Viridiplantae; Streptophyta; Magnoliopsida; Malpighiales; Euphorbiaceae.
CUGCAAUUCAAUUGCACCAUUCAAGAUAAACCAAUGUCAAAGAAUACACAUAAAAACAUGUAUGCAUGCGCAUGCGCAUGCAUAUGCAUAUGAAAAUAAAAAUAAAAAUAAAAAUCAUAUGCUGUCAAAUUGGGAAACUUUCUACUGAAAUUUAGCAAGAGCAUGAAAAAUUGAGCAUUUCUUGUCACAAACCUUUCUAAAACCUUUUUCAUAGCAGAAGUACUUACUGCUUCUCUGGGGAAACAAGUCAGUAUAGCAGAAACAAAUAGAAGAUUUAAAUUAAAUCCUUUUGGGAGAAUUAGAUAGUGAAGUGUCCUGAAAUUUUAUGAAAUUCAGGCAUAAAUCCUCACUUAGCCUGUUUGGUAUGCACAAAAAAAGUCAACUGCGGCCCUGCUAGGAGGGGAUUUUAUUCUGCAUAAUGGCCCUACCAUUAUCACAGAAAAUUUAUUUUCCUUCAUCUCCAACACAACAAAAUAAACUACAGUGCCCUGCUCCGGCUUAAUGUGACAGUUAUAAACCACCACCACAUUAAAGCCUUGGCUAAAAAUAUACAUAAGAUGCAUGUGGUUUGUGCGCUGACCCAAAUCUGAUCCAUAUUUAGUUAUUUACAUGGACUUGUUUAGUGUUUAUAAUGUCUUGUGAAAGAGAAUUACAAAAUGAAGAAUAAGUUCAGCUUCAUAUUAAAAUAGAAGAAAUUUUAGUUCAUUCAUUACAGCUAAAAUAAUAAAAUUCUAUCACCAGCCUCCACAUUCGAAUUUUGGACAUGCAAUCAAACACUCCUGACACAUUAGAACACACUCAUUAAAUACAAAAAGAGGUUCUUAAGCAAAAAUAGAAGAUUAACAUGUACAGGAAACAGCACUUCAAAUACCACAUAUAUGCUGCAAAGUCAAUAGACCUUAAGGACCAUUACAUGGUACUUAACUGGACCAUGACCAAAUGCUUUUCUUUCCCCUUUUUUUGCAUACCAUAUAAUAAUAACAGCAAUUAUUUUGGCAAUCAACAUGCCACAGGUAAAUAGGUUCCAACAACAGAUAUUGAGAGGGAAAAAAAAAAUCAAAAGAGUCCGUAAGUACCACAUAAUCAGGCAAUCAGCACAAGUUAAUUUCAAAACAUGGCAAAGACUACCAUCUAAAAGUGCAUUGUAGUAGUUCAAUUGUGUUCGCUUUGAGAAUCUUACUUAAUAAGAAACUAUGUGUAAUAAAUUCAAAAACAAGAAACAAUAGGGAAGUAUUUUAAACAUACCAGAAUAGCACAAUAAUGACUACUAUUCAAGCCAUCAAAAGACAAUAGGACGAUCAAAUGAGGGGCAUUAAGCUUAAUAGCUUAAUAGCUUCCCUAUGCACCACAUGAAUGAGCAUCUGUCGAAGCCUGAACCUUUGUCAUUAAGGAGUUUAUACCCAGUGCAGAAAAAGCAGCGCAU